This 253-nucleotide ribosomal RNA is filed under the name uncultured bacterium. RNAcentral describes it as "partial 16S ribosomal RNA". It matches the Rfam family "Bacterial small subunit ribosomal RNA", at positions 524 to 776 of the family's 1533-position model. The record is from RNAcentral.
UACGAAGGGGGCUAGCGUUGUUCGGAAUUACUGGGCGUAAAGGGCGCGUAGGCGGUCUUGUAAGUCAGAUGUGAAAGCCCCGGGCUCAACCCGGGAGUUGCAUUUGAUACUGCAUUGCUUGAGUCCGGGAGAGGAUGGCGGAAUUCCCGGUGUAGAGGUGAAAUUCGUAGAUAUUGGGAAGAACAUCAGUGGCGAAGGCGGACCUCUGGUCCGGUACUGACACUCAAGUGCGAAAGCGUGGGGAGCAAACAGG